AGGCCGAGUAGCAAAAUGGUUAUGCAGCGGAUUGCAAAUCCGCCUACGCCGGUUCGAUUCCGACCUCGGCCUCCAC
This 76-nucleotide transfer RNA is filed under the name Pseudomonas fluorescens A506. RNAcentral's name for it is "tRNA-Cys". It matches the Rfam family "tRNA". Rfam says of the family: Transfer RNA (tRNA) molecules are approximately 80 nucleotides in length. Their secondary structure includes four short double-helical elements and three loops (D, anti-codon, and T loops). The record is from RNAcentral. Lineage: Bacteria; Pseudomonadati; Pseudomonadota; Gammaproteobacteria; Pseudomonadales; Pseudomonadaceae.